Molecule: ribosomal RNA, 505 nt
Filed under: uncultured bacterium
Lineage: Bacteria
Description: bacterial SSU rRNA
Rfam family: Bacterial small subunit ribosomal RNA
Source: RNAcentral
CUGGCUCAGGAUGAACGCUAGCGGCAGGCUAACACAUGCAAGUCGAGGGGUAACAGGGCGUAGCAAUACGCCGCUGACGACCGGCGCACGGGUGCGUAACGCGUAUACAACCUACCUGUAACAGGGGGAUAACGGAGUGAAAACUCCACUAAUACCCCAUAUUGACGAGUCUUCGCAUGGGGGUUCGUCGAAAGCUUCGGUGGUUACGGAUGGGUAUGCGUGACAUUAGGUAGUUGGCGGGGCAACGGCCCACCAAGCCGACGAUGUCUAGGGGAGCUGAGAGGCUAGUCCCCCACACUGGUACUGAGACACGGACCAGACUCCUACGGGAGGCAGCAGUGAGGAAUAUUGGUCAAUGGACGGAGGUCUGAACCAGCCAUGCCGCGUGAGGGAAGAAGGUCCUAUGGGUUGUAAACCUCUUUUGCUCCGGAGCAAUAAGGCGGAUGCGUCCGCCGACGAGAGUACGGGGCGAAUAAGCAUCGGCUAACUCCGUGCCAGCCGCCGC